GCCAUUUUCCAAAAUGCCUUAUUCUUUACUAUCUCUGCACUUUUGUUCAUUCUCUCUACUUUGGAAAUGGCUCCUCUCUGGCUUUUCAUCUGUCAAAAUUCUGCCAUUUUCUCGGUAUCCAACUCAGAUGCUCUCUUUUCCGUGAGUCUCCUAACUGGCCAGAAUAGAACUUUUAAGUUUUAUGUCAUUUUGUUAUGUAUCCUCUCUUUGUAUACAAAAUCCCGUAAAAUAAUUACUUGCCUGCAUUUGCUGUCUUUGCAGAUAGCAGACUCCUUGAAACCAGGGUCCUUGUUUAGUGCAUCUUUGCCCACAUACAGCACAACAUACCAUGAAGCAUUUAUUAGGAAGGAGGAGUUUAGAGAGCAGGCUAUCAGAAUAAGCAGCCAUCUUGUGCCUCCUGAUUGCUGAGUGUUCACCUGGACCUUCUGACUACCUUCCUUGUGCUAUUCCAUCAGCCUACAGAUCCUACAGACCUGGUACCUGGAUUUUUGCUGAAGAUGAUUCCUACCACCUUACUACUGAAGAAGACACCCAUUCCAUUGGACCACUGUGACUCAGGAGGCAUUCAGCCAUCAUGAUGUGGCCUCUACCUCCACUCCUGUUCUGUUCUACCCAGAUUCAGCACAGCCCUUUAUAGUGAAGUCCGAGUCCUCAAGCCAAAUAGCUAAAGCUGUUUUAUCACAACAAAGGCCUAGUUUGUUCCAUGAGUGUACAUUUCUUCAGUUAAAGCCUUCAGAGACACACAUAAAUUUGGACCAGGGGAUUUUUUAGUUAUUAAUGCUAUUUGAAGAAAAGCAACAUCUUUUUGAGAACAGCAUUGGACCGUACCACACAAUCUCAAAUGAUUGAAAUUCAUCUGCACCCUGUUUUUUCUACUUCAAAUCCUGUACUAGCCUAUUGAAUGAGAAAACAUAUUCUGACCCAUUGGGACCAAAUCAAAGGCACAAAGAACUCCUCAUAGCAUCUUCUUUGGAAUUACUCAGGAACCAGAACUUUUUACACAAAUGUGAGAAAUUCUACCAAGGAGUCCCCUUACCUAACAGCAUCUCACAAGGCUGCAUCAGAUUCCAGAAAAGGCUUCUCUUGAUACAUCAAGGUAGAACCUCUAUGGUAAAUCCCCUCUGUUUAUAUAGCACUUUACAGUUUCAAAGCACUUGUACAUACAUUUAUCUCAAUUAUCAAAAUAACUGUGAAUUAUAGUCGCUUUUUGCAAAUGAGGGAAUAUAAAUUUUAAAAGUUAAGCAGUUAUCCAAAGUGACACAGUUAAGAAAGUGGUAGAGGCCAGGCUUUCUGACUCCCUGUUCAGUACUCUCCUUGGAAUUAGCCUCCAGUUUACCCAGUGUUAAAAUGACUGGGUAUUGGGAACCUCAGGAAAUUUUCCAGCUUCCUGAUCUGGUGCCCCCAAUCACAUAGGAUGUCAUAAGUGUGACCUUGUGACAGCUACAUCUAGACCAAAAUCCCAUGGCGAUAUCCCCAGGGUUUAGGGGUAUACUAUCUCCAUGGUGGAAGACUGUCAAAUCAAAAGGGAACAUUUUCUAACAACAAAGCUACCCAACACGAAACAAAAAGCUGCUUGUAGAUUUUUUAAGACUUACUAAUACUCCUGGGCCCUAAGAGCUUAUCUGUGGUCCUCUCUCUGCAAACUAAUAUUUACACAAAAUGAGCUGCCUGGUUUUUUAAGGCAGUACCCUGUGCAUGUGUGUAUGAAUGACAUGGAGAAAGCUUCUGUUACCUAGUAAGACAGUAUAAUAUGUAAGACAUGUCCCUUCCCCCAGUUUACAUUGAGAUAUAGUGUAUUAAAGAAGACUUGCAGCAAAUUACUACUGCUUCUAUGCUUAAAUUCAGAAAUCUAGUUUUUUUUAAAAGACUUGCAGUAAAGAGUUCCAUUUUGCUAUUUAACCCGUUGUGUCCUAAGUUUAAUCAAACACAGAAGGGUAUUUUUUGCAUCAUUCCAUCUAAUGGAAUGCAGAAACUGUUUUAGAGCAGUAUAGGCAGUGCUUCCUGAUUGCCAGCAGAUUGCCCUGGACACCCCAGAAUAAACAGCAUCUUCAAAAUCCCCCUUUCUCAUAUCUUGUUAUUAACUGCUUGAAUUAGUGUGUCUCUGUCAUUUGACAGUCCUGCAUCUUGACCGUUACCUUUAUUUUCUGUCAAGGGAACCUGUAGAUGUGUGGGGAGACAUAGGAAAGAAAUGGGGGAAAGUAAAUUCACCCCAAAUUGGAUAAAUUCCAUGACAUUUAGCAGUAUACUUCUGUGUCCCUAGAAUUGUACCAUAACUUUAGUUCAAGGGCAUUGCAUCUCAGGCGGGUAAGGAGUUUGGGAAGGGGAGAGAAGGGGUGAGAAGAUAUUUCAGAAUUUGAGUUAUGGCCCAUUGAGACUUAUCCAAUGCUUGAGAAGUCAUCCAGCCAUGGACUUCUUGGAGUAAUAUUUACAAAAAAAGGGAUGCAUUUUGCAAUCUCAUGCAAAAACCCCAGUGCUAUUGCAACUGAAAAUCAUUAGCCUUGUUCUCUGAUAGUUACUUACAAGCCCAACAGCAAUCAAAAUUUAUAGCAGAUGAGCUUUAACUCCAUCAACCUGUAAUGUGGUCUGUAUUGGGGAAAAAAUGAAUAGAAAAACACCUUGUUUUACCACAGGCUUUGCUUACAGUUUCUGCUUUCUGUGACCCAUUUUUUGUAUUUCAGCAUUUUGUGAACGACUUAUUCUUAGAUCAUUGGUUUUCCAAAGCCUUUGUGGCCAUGAAGCUCUUUGAGUGAAAACGUUGUAGAGGCCCAGAGUAAAAGUGAAGCUGCUCUGGAUGAAGCAAUGAAGCAGGAGUAGGGGCCUGAAGCCUGCUACAACUAUCUUCCUUUACCACCGUGGUGACACCUAAGGGGACUUCCUUAUAACACCUUGAACUCUUCAGAACACAGUUUGAAAACCACUUCUCUAGACAGCGAUAUGUUUGACCUGAAUGGCAUUCCAAUCUCUUCUGUACCUCCACUCAGCAUAGUUCAUGUUCAGCUGAUGCUGAACAUUCUUAGAAGUACUGUGUGCAAACUUAGAAAAGUGCAAGAAGACAGGCAUGUCUUUGACCCCAGGAAUGGUCAUGGGCGGAAAGUGCUGUCAAGGGAAUCUAGAUUAACAGCCCUCCGCUCCAGACGGAUAUCCAGUGAUUCCUAGAAUGGGAUAUAGCCAGAGAACAAUUCUAUGUACCCUACACUGACAGACUCCCGUAAACAACUUCUGUUCACAAACACCAGAUGCUCUAGUGGUACUUGAAGUACAUGACUUUGAAGUCUUGACCCUCCAUGGAUACCUGAAUUGCCAGCAAGCGGGUUUUGAAGCUGGUGCCUCAUUGAGGCCAUAUUAGAGCAACUUAUACAUUUGACCUCUUGUCAUCAGCCGUGGUACUCUACUUCAUGCAAGAGAAAACUAUGAAAGCAGAAUUCAAAUACUAGCAACAUUUCCUAAAGGGACUCAAUAUCUGUUUUGUCAUUCAUCUUUUCCAAACUACACAUCACUGUAUGACUCAACCAGUAGCAGUUACACUGUUCCUUGGUUUUUAUUCAGUUUAACUACUGUUUCCAAGAUAAAUGAGCAAACAACCUUUUUUUAAAAAAGCUGAAACAAUUCCUUUAUUUUCAUCACUGGCAUAUCUGCCUAUUCAGAAUUAUUAUGACUACUCAGCUCUAACUUUAACAGCUGAUCUUCAAGAGACAGUCUUUGAAUAUCCCUUCUGGUAUGUGAUUUAAAAUACAACAAUUUGGAAAAGUUUCUUCUAGCCAGUAAGAGAUUUUUUUUUUUAAUCGCUCCGUCUUGUGCUGAGAGGUGUUCUUUUAAGAUGAAUCUUUUGAUGUCUGAUACCACCAACGAUAGGUGGUAGGGGUAGUUGGAGGCUGGCCCUUUGAGCAGGCCAUGAUAGCUUACUUGCUGGGCAUUUCAGAUGGCUUAUUACCUGCCUUUUUGCUGGAAACAGACUUAUUUGAAGAAUAAAAUUUAUGAAGACUGUGGCUAAGGAUUUUAUCAGUAGACUUAAGAGCUUUUGGCCUUGUGGAUAUUUUAGUGGAACCACAUCAGUCUCAAUACUGUCAUUUUACACUGAUUCAGAGCACCUGACUUCAUUUUUGACAUGAUAUACUUAAGGCAGGCGUUGUAACAGAUAUUAAGACAACUUAAUCUGUUUCAGAAGGAAGGAUUCCAUUCAUAAACUCGUAAGCCAGAUCAUGUUGAACAAGGAGACUUUGAUGUGUAUCAUGAGAAAACUCAUUCCUUUACUCUCCAAUUUAAAGGCCAGCUAUCCUGAGCUACUCCAAUGAAUGCACUGGUUAAACUUUGGGAACAGUUUCUUUAUAUUCUUGUCUCUCUAGGCCAGUCGUGAUUACAUGACUCCACAUCUCGUCAAACAAGGCCUGCGGCUGGUUGCUGUAGACUGCUCACCCUCGACAAAUAAAAUCUGGAUGACUAGCCUGCUUGUAUAUACAACUGUUAUUUGUAAAGAAGUUAUCUUCAAUUUUCUACAACCUUCAAAUUGUCAGCUCUUUUUUUCUUCUCUAAUUUUUCUGUACUUUAUAGAAAAAGACAUUGCUCUAUACUGCCAUUCCUUCUAAUCCUGCCAUACUCGGUCAAAAUGAAUGACUUAAGAUGAAGAUGAUCAUCUGCUCGAAUCUAAAAUAUACAUUGUGUAUAAGAAUUGGAGAUUAGAAAAGCAAAAAACCUAAAACUUAAACCUAGGAGUUUGCCUACUAUCUCCAUGUCUCCAUGCCUCAGAUUUCAUCUCAAUCUUUGAACAGCACCAUUCAAGCAAUCUGAGGCCUUGACCUAUAAGAUGAUUCUCAGAGAUGGGCUGAGUCACGAAAGAUGACGACUUGAUUACCAAAGAAAGUAGGGCCAACUUUGACAAACCUGGCUCUGCUGACCCUGUCACUCCCAGAUGUAGCAUAGACUCCUAAAUAGACCCGGAAGUCUGAGGAGAAGGCCUUCUUCUGAGCUGAGUCUUUGGCAGAUGAGCAGGAAACUGAAAGCUGAUGUACCUGACUGGCUCUGUAAGAUCAGAAAACUGUAUCCAGAGUAAGCCCUAUGGAUUAACCCUGGAGUACCCAGGGUAAAAACUAAUUUACAGAAUUUCCUUAUUAAUCUGCCUCUUUUUCCAGAUCAUAUUCUGCCUAUUGGUAUGACUGGCCCUUCUGAAGUUACCCUGCUUGUCUAUUUUCCUGACUCAGCUCUUGCCUGCCUUUUUCACAUAUUGCUGCAAUUAGACUCACUGACCUUGAGAAGACUACAGCCAAUUUUAGCCUGUCUUGUGCCCAAUACAACAAGAAUUUUUAAUAGAAACAACCCACACCUCACCUACUAGGACUCAACAAUCACAACAGGAAGGACCAUGCUGUGUACUCCUUGAUCAGCAGCUUUUUUAAAGAUAUUUUUAAGUGCAGAGUAAGCCUCUCUGAAAGUGUAUUUGAUGACUUUCAGCACCUGGAACCUCUUCUAUCAGAUCUCAAGGAAUACAGCAGAUUCAAAGCAGUGUCCAUUUCUCUCCUGUAGUAGUGCAGAAAUGAGUCUGAUUUACCAGGACACACAGAACUGUACCAGUUCAACCUGGCAAAAAGGAACACAAGAAAAGUUUCCACUGUACUUAAAAUUUACCACUGACUCAAAUUGCCUCACAGAAUUAUUUGAUGUAGAAGGCUAGUUGUCUUGCUUCACAUCAGCAGGACAGUUGGGCUCUCAGACUCAUGAUCACUGAGUUUGCUUGUAUUAAAACUCUGUGGUUUUAUCCAAAGUAUGCUAUUGGACAUGAUUAUUAUUCCAUUCAAAUGGAUUACGGACUACUUGAGGACAGGACAAACUUAGAAUACUUUUAUAACCGAGGAAGAAAUCAUGCCAGCUUUUAGCAUUCAACUUCAUAAGCAGAGAUUAAGCUUUUUCAUACUGUUCUUAUCCUGGACAGCAGUAGUUUUUAAUUGCCCAGCAUCCAUUCCAUCUCAUUGUGACAACUCUACGAUGUUUCUUAAAACCACCUCUUCCUGUUUUCAGUCUGUGUGGUUUGGACAAUUAGACCCAACCUUGAGCUUUGUGGGUGGACAUGUAAUUGAGACCUCAUCAAUCAGCAAAUCCAUCUGAACUGUGGAGGAGAAGCUCUCUUUACUGAGGUGCUUUAGCUUUGUGGGAUGAAAACCUCAAACCAACAGGGCCUACCAUGUAGAGAAUGAAGCCAGUGCAGGGGAAAGCAGAGCCAAAAUAAUGGAGAGACUUGAAUCCUGAUGACAACGUUUGUGCCCCUGGAUCCAACCGUGCCUGAAGCUAGUAUAUCCCCUGGACUUUUCAGUUAUGUGAACCAAUAAAUACCCUUUUUUGCUUAAGUUACUUUGAGUUGGGUUUCUCUUACUUGAAAUUGAAUCCAGAUUAAUAUAUCUACCAACAUUGAAACUUGACAGAUCCAAGUAUUUAUUAAGCUAGAGGUCAUGGUCACUGAAAUUAUUUUCCAAAGUGGAAGACAAAAUGAAACAGGAAUGGAGAGAAUAUUUAAGAUACCACAGAAGCAUAAAAAUAACGUGGUAGAAAGUAACAGAAGACCUAAAUGUCAUUAAAGGAUAGGCUAAGGUAUGGUUCAGCCAUGUAGGAAAAUCUUAACAUUUAUUAAAACGAAUAAAGUACAUUCAUUGUGUAUGGAAAAAUGGCCAUGAUACAUUAGGUGAGACAACUUAUUGAUAGAAAAGUGUGUAGUAUGAACUCAUUUUAAAAUGUGUGUGCUUAUGUUUAUAAAUGCAUAGAAAAGUCUAUUCAUGGCUUUCUUUGAACAGUGUAGGUUACACGAGACUUUCAACCUUAUACAUUUCUGUAUUCUACACUACCCACAUUACUUUUAAACUUUAUUUAAAUAAAGAAUUUUUUAAAUUUAGUGCUUACUGUUUGUCCUUAGCAAGUUAUUUAACGCUAAGCCUGUUAAAUUAUUAAAAUACCCACUUUUAUAUUAGUAAAUAUUAAAAUAUAUUAAUCAUUCAUUACUCCAGUUGACAGAUAGCUACACCUUUGUUUGAGAAACUCAAAGCUCAGUAAUUGUUCCUUGAUUUUUUAAGCAUGUCUCCUUCAAAUGAUUUUAUUUGGAUUAUGAGAAUUUUACGGUUUUAAGGUUCAUCAAAAAUUAUCGUAGUUCUUCACUGAUGUUAACCUACUAAGACUAUUGCACCAUCCAUAUUAGGCAGAAAACAAGGAAAGUCACAUCUUUUAAAAAAUCUUUCAGUUAUUCCAAUGUCACUGCAAUUAAGGUCAAUAGUGACCUUUUAAUUGCUAAAGCCAUUACACAUGCAUCUUAUCUGAAUUUUCAGCAGCACAGAUAACUCCCACCAGCUUCUUGAAAUACUCUUCCCUUAAGUACUGUUUAUACUUCAUUUUCUUUUCAACUUGCUGGCUACUCCUUUAUUGUGGGUCCUUCUCCCCAUCAUGUAAAUAUUGGUAAAGACAGCAUCCAUUGUUUGGCUUGUCAAAAAUUACUUCCCCUUUCCUUUAAUGAUAGAUCCCCACUUAACUCUUUAGAAAGCUACUCAUUCCCAUUCAGUGGAAAUGUAGGUUAUAGUACUCUCGCCUCAUGCCCCCUGGCUGAGGUUUGAGCAGUGCAAGCUCAUCCUAUCAAAUUUCCCACCAGGACUUUGAUUCUUAAGAGGUGACCACAAACAAAGUGACCAGAGUUGAGUCAUUCUGAUGGUAGUGCUCCAAAGAAAACGUGUAAAAAUUUAUAAAAGGAGAUGUCCAUAGUACCCUGGCUCCUAUUCUCUAUGCCUGGUUGUCGAGGUUUUCCUUUGAUUGUAUAAACUGCCGUAUAGCCUCCUUACGAUAAGUUUCCUUUUUAUCAGCCAAAAUGGGUUUCUCUUGCUUGUGACCAAAUGACUAAUUAUAGAAAGUGGUGCCAGAGAGUUAAAUUGUAGGCUUCUAACCCACAGGAACAUGCAGAGGAUCUGGAAUUGACUAUUGUGCUGUGUUAAUGGCACCAGUAACUCUUGUUAUGUGUUCCUGGGAGGAUAAAUCUACCAGUUAAGAUAGCAAAACAGUAAUAUCCCUCUUGUCAUUUGGAAUCAUGUGCCUAUUGCGAGUAAAAUUUGGAGAACCAGGUAACUGUUGACAAUAGGACAAUUUAAAGCAGAUAGGUGGGGCCCAGUGGCUCACGCCUGUAAUCCCAACACCUUG
Long non-coding RNA from Sapajus apella (tufted capuchin), 8157 nucleotides. RefSeq lists it as uncharacterized. The record is from RefSeq and is a predicted model, not a curated record. NCBI's taxonomy places the organism in Eukaryota, Metazoa, Chordata, Mammalia, Primates, Cebidae. The transcript has 3 exons.